UACGUAGGUGGCAAGCGUUGUCCGGAAUUAUUGGGCGUAAAGAGCUCGUAGGCGGUCUGUCGCGUCGGCUGUGAAAACUCGGGGCUCAACCCCGAGCCUGCAGUCGAUACGGGCAGACUAGAGUGCGGUAGGGGAGACUGGAAUUCCUGGUGUAGCGGUGAAAUGCGCAGAUAUCAGGAGGAACACCGGUGGCGAAGGCGGGUCUCUGGGCCGUAACUGACGCUGAGGAGCGAAAGCGUGGGGAGCAAACAGG
RNAcentral lists this ribosomal RNA (253 nucleotides) under uncultured bacterium. RNAcentral describes it as "partial 16S ribosomal RNA". It matches the Rfam family "Bacterial small subunit ribosomal RNA", at positions 524 to 776 of the family's 1533-position model. The record is from RNAcentral.